Molecule: transfer RNA, 73 nt
Filed under: Rhizobiales bacterium GAS191
Lineage: Bacteria; Pseudomonadati; Pseudomonadota; Alphaproteobacteria; Hyphomicrobiales
Also listed under: 2 other names
Description: tRNA_Thr_TGT
Rfam family: tRNA
About the family: Transfer RNA (tRNA) molecules are approximately 80 nucleotides in length. Their secondary structure includes four short double-helical elements and three loops (D, anti-codon, and T loops).
Source: RNAcentral
GCCGGUUUAGCUCAGUUGGUAGAGCAACCGCCUUGUAAGCGGUAGGUCGGGGGUUCGACUCCCUCAACCGGCA